Molecule: ribosomal RNA, 300 nt
Filed under: uncultured Lactobacillus sp.
Lineage: Bacteria; Bacillati; Bacillota; Bacilli; Lactobacillales; Lactobacillaceae
Description: bacterial SSU rRNA
Rfam family: Bacterial small subunit ribosomal RNA
Source: RNAcentral
UCUGUGUAGGGGGCAGCAGCCUGGGUAUGAGGUAGGUGGCAAGCGUUGUCCGGAUGGAGUGGGCGUAAAGGGCUCGUAGGCGUCUCGGUGCGGCUGAUGUGAAAACUCGGGGCUUAACUCCGAGCCUGCAUUCGAUACGGGCGAGCUAGAAUUCGGUAGGGGAGACUGGAAUUCCUGGUGUAGCGGUGAAAUGCGCAGAUAUCAGGAGGAACACCGAUGGCGAAGGCAGGUCUCUGGGCCGAUAUUGACGCUGAUGAGCGAAAGCGUGGGGAGCGAACAGGAUUAGAUACCCCAGUAGUC